GAUGACCGCAGACAGAAUGCUUAACACAUGCAAGUCUACUUGAUUCUACUUCGGUAGUUGAUGGUGGCGGACGGGUGAGUAACGCGUAAAGAAUCUGCCCUUUAGUUUGGGAUAACCUUUGGAAACGAAGGCUAAUACCGAAUAUUAUGGAGAUGUCGCAUGACGACUUCAUGAAAGCUAUAUGCGCUAGAGGAGGACUUUGCGUCCCAUUAGUUAGUUGGUGAGGUAAUGGCUCACCAAGACCGCGAUGGGUAGCCGGCCUGAGAGGGUGAUCGGCCACAAGGGAACUGAGACACGGUCCUUACUCCUACGGGAGGCAGCAGUGGGGAAUAUUGGACAAUGGACCACAAGUCUGAUCCAGCAAUUCUGUGUGCACGAUGAAGGUCUUCGGAUUGUAAAGUGCUUUCAGUAGGGAAGAAAAAAAUGACGGUACCUACAGAAGAAGCGACGGCUAAAUAUGUGCCAGCCGCCGCAGUAA
RNAcentral lists this ribosomal RNA (478 nucleotides) under uncultured bacterium. RNAcentral's name for it is "partial 16S ribosomal RNA". It matches the Rfam family "Bacterial small subunit ribosomal RNA", at positions 28 to 523 of the family's 1533-position model. The record is from RNAcentral.